This is a long non-coding RNA of Mauremys reevesii (Reeves's turtle), 613 nucleotides long. RefSeq lists it as uncharacterized. The transcript has 3 exons. The record is from RefSeq and is a predicted model, not a curated record. NCBI's taxonomy places the organism in Eukaryota, Metazoa, Chordata, Testudines, Geoemydidae.
ACAUUUCUAUUGUUAACUAAAGACGCCUCAUCUUUACUCUAGCAAACUCAAAAGCUGGGUUUCUACACAGUACAAUACUAAGGAAACUACAAACGGCGAGAGGAGGACUGCAAUCACCCGCGUCCUGAAUUUCAGUGAUCAGCAGAAUACUUUGCUUGAGAUUUUGAUGUGCUCGGCGGGAGCCUCACUCCUCAGUGACCAGUCAGCUGUGAAACACUUAAACACGCGGAGGAAAUAAAAACAAAUCGCAUCCAGCAAGUUUCUGAGCAGCCCCCCUCAGCACCAGCCUCCGCCCUGGUGGGAGUCACAGCUUGGCGAGAGGGUGCAGAGGAAUCUGUUCCAACCUAGUGGCUGCCAUCGCUGCACGAGAUUUCCAGUGAGAGAGGUGGCUUGGCACAGCACGCGCCAGUGCGGCGCUCGCUGUCAGUGAGAACGCCCAGUCUGUAAGCAGAGAGAUGUGCUGAGCACCAAGCUACAGAGAGUGAGUUAAGAGCUUCGGGUGGUGGAGGUGUCUGAAGAUCUGGCACCGAUUGUUCCUCAGCGUGGAAUAGGGGAGGCUGUCCUGGCUGAGAGGGCAACCCCAGUGUGUAAGUGGUGUCAGUCUGUGGCCCUG